Non-coding RNA from Cricetulus griseus (Chinese hamster), 559 nucleotides. The record is from RefSeq and is a predicted model, not a curated record. Lineage: Eukaryota; Metazoa; Chordata; Mammalia; Rodentia; Cricetidae.
CAGAAAGUGAAACCAUCCCCCAGGAGGGCUGGGAAUCCAUUUAGAGUGAGGGACACAGCUGGAGUCACUGAGUCAUGGUCUCUGGGCGCGGCCCCCAUUUAUAACCUCUCCCUUAACUUUGUUUAUCUCUGAAGAAACACACAGAUGCAUCGCACUUUCCAGAAGUUGGAGCCCUGUGAUCAUCACUUGUCAUCAGAAGAAAUGAGAUUAGACAGAUAGAGGAGCACAAAGAAUCACAUGCUCAGCCAGCCUUUAUGACACGGGGCCUACCUGUCGGGAAAUGAUAAGAACUCCAGAAGCCUCCACCUGUGCUUUGCUGGAUGUUCCCAAGAAGUACACACCGAGUGGCUCACACUGAAUGCAUUUCUUCAAGGCUCUCCAGGCUAGAAGUGGAUUCGGUUAUUUCUGAGCUGUGAGGGAGGGGCCAGCUGUGGACCUCUCUCUCGGAAGAGGAUGCUCUUCCCGUGCUAUCACUCUCGAGAUCUUUUCAUCUGUUGUAGAAUAUUUCUUUUAAAAAAUUGUAUUAUUUGAGAAUUGCAUACAAUGUAUUUUGAUGAUA